This is a long non-coding RNA of Halichondria panicea, 5963 nucleotides long. RefSeq lists it as uncharacterized. The transcript has 8 exons. The record is from RefSeq and is a predicted model, not a curated record. Lineage: Eukaryota; Metazoa; Porifera; Demospongiae; Suberitida; Halichondriidae.
UGCACUCGUAGCUACUAGAAUGAUGUCAUUCAAUGGAAAUGUGGGCAGGGCCAUGUACUGUGCAUGCUUACUGCUGAUGAAAAGUGAUGACCAGGUAAAAUUCCAAGCUAUUCGCGCCUGCUCUGGUCCUGCUCAAGCCCUGCCCUUCCCAAAAUCCUGGCUAUGCGCCUAUGCCACUGUUCCUGGCAUUGAAAUGCGAAUAUUAGAACCCACGAAAAUUUAUGCUGAGGGCUUUGGAGCCAAAUAGCGAACAUUUCCCGCUGUACGGUAUUAUGAACCGAAUGUAUGAAUCUACUUUAUAAGGUUUUUUUUGUAGCUCCAGAAAACACAGACAUUUUCAGGUGUGAUAGACUACAAUUGUCCAGAUUGGUGACCUAAAGAUGUGGUGUUUUCCUUAUUGACAGGCCAGGACUCAGAAGCACACGUAUUACUAAGCACUGUGAUAAACAAAUAUAUAUCACACCUACGGAGAUAUGCGCCCGGUACUGCAUGUGGUUACUCCAAUUAAGGAGCAGGCUUUAAGAUCAAUACUUGUUCCUACGUAGGAGGAGAAUGAAGUAGGAAAAAGACUGAAGGAACCGAAGGAAAUCGUGACCCACACCCUGAGGCAGUCAAGCAAGAUUACCUCCAGUUAUCAGCAACACUUCGCCUCGGCUGUUGAACUGACCAACCAAAAGAUCUGAUUUGAUUUCGAAAGAACAGAAGACCUGUUGAAUUAUCGAGUUCUGGAUUCUAAGAAAAGAAGUCUCGAGGCUGAGAGGAAAUUUAAGGAGCUCAGUGAAGAAAACAGAAAUGUUUGUUAUGGCGAAACGAUUCAAAUGAUCACAACUCAGAUAUGAGAUGUCGAAGUGUAAAACAUUAUUUUUGUUAACUUUCUUGUUUGUAUCCUAUUCAUCUCAUCCACUGUGCAUUCAGUAUUCCACUUGUGUGUAUAGUGUGUACGUAUUUGCUAAGGAGAUAUGUUUGAAUUUGUAAUUUGUACUUCCAUCAUUAUACAUAAUGGCUAUCAAGUGAGUCUUGUUGUUGCCUCUUCAAAGCGUUUUAUAAUAAUAAUAAUAAUAAUAAUAAUCGAUGCUUUACAGUAUGACUUUACAUUUACACAAGGUGAAUAGAUUGUUGUGCGUCAGAAAUUAAACAUACUGACAGGAAGUUCCUAGAAGGAACACCUGACUAAAUCUACAUAAAAUGUAUACAUAAUUAUACAGUUAUACAGACCAACAGGGACAGACUAGGUGAUAAGUGCAAAUUCUUGAUUGAUCAAAGCGUUCUAGAAAACUGUCCCAGAAAUGUUUGUAGAGUUGAUUCUUGAUAGUUGACAUCGAGUGAGAGAGAUCUAUAAAAGGGAGGGUGUUCCAGAGUCUGACCAAUCUUUUGAAGUUAAAGUGUCUUGUUGUGUUUGAGCGAUGAUGACCUUUAUGAACUAGCUUGUGAUUAGACGAUAGUCUUGUGUUGCUGGUAGAGAAUGAUAUGAACUCAGUAAUGUUGAAGUUGUCUACUGGUUUUUGGAGACACCUGACGGCGAAUAUGACAUCUUGCAACUCUAGCCAGUUCAUUAGUGGUAAAAGGUCCAGUUUAAUGAGGCGACUUUUGUAGUCGAGAAUAUCAGAUCUACAUGUAAGGUUCAGAAUAAACUUUGAAGAUCUUCUCUGGAUUUGUUCCACUUUUGUGAUGGCCUUGUGUGUCUGUGGUCUCCACAGUUGCGAACAAAAUGUUAAAUUAGAUCUAACAAGCGUAGACUAGUAUAAAGUGUUCUUUUUGUGUGGAGAUCAUGAGAGCAUGCAUUGAGUGUUUCUUUUAAUAAGGUACAAACAGCUGUACUGUAGGCCUUCGAACAUAGGUUGUUGAUAUGUUGGUCCCAGGAGAGACUAUUCUGGAUGGUCACUCCCAGGUCUUUGUGAGAGUCUCUUGUUAAGAUUAGCUUCGAGUCCAAAUUGUAUAGCGAGUCAUGAAUGGUUUUACCAAAGUGGAAGUAGACACAUUAGUGUGACGAUUAGUACCAGGUCCACAUGGCUUUGACAUGUACAGGAAUGCAAUGAUGCAAAUACUAGAUCUAGUUCUUUCAAGCUCCAAGUACGAGUGAUGGAGGAAUAUUCUAGCUGUAACAGCUCUUAGUAACAUUCACGUAUUGUAAAUCCAACAAAUCACCUCCAGUUGAUCAGCAAACUCUGCCUUGAGAGUUGAAACUGACGAUACCCUUUUAUGUCGAAACAAGAAACAAUUGAAGAAUCUCCAAAAUAAUGAAGAAAAUGUACGUUGCAUCAAGUGACCCCAACGACCUAUUGUAUGAUGAUAUCUUAAGCAGCACGUUCUGGAUUCUAGGAAAAUAUGACUCGAGGCUGGGAGGAAAAUUGAGGAGCUGAGUUACGUCUCACUACAAGAGGAUAUGCAUCAAUAUAUCGUCCGCUACUGUGCAUGGUUACUCUGAGGACAAGCAUAAGAUUCAAUGGUUGUUCCCACGCAAGAGGAGGAUAAAGUGAGGAAAAGAACUGAUUGAGGGAGUGGAAGAAAAUGGUGACCCUCGCCUUGAGGCAGCACCUCACCAAGCAAGGCUAUCUUGUGGUUGGUUCCUCCGGGGUGAAGAUGUAUCUAUGGACCAAGUCUGUUCUGAGGGGGAGGGGUGAUUGUCACAAGUAUUUGUUCUACAGUAUCGAGAGCCAUUGAUACAUGGAAACCACACCUGGUCUGGCCUGCACCAACAGGCACUAUACCAACCCAGUGGGCACGGAGUGGUGUUGGAAGAUGGACGAUGCGGAUAAAAAAACUCACUACCAAAAUGGUCAAACAAAUUAAAGACACGUCCCGUCGUUGCGGGUGGGCACCUGAUUUAAGAAGAGUAUUUGAUGUUAAAUGUACGUACAUUAAAGGUUUGAUGUAUAAUUAUGAUACUGUGAGUAAAGCAAAAAUUAUAUGUAUUCGUACAGUUGUGCAGUUAUAACAUUAGUCCAUUAGUACUACAAAUUGUAAACUGCUUAAUGCCCUUUAUUGCAUGCAUCGUCAUUAUUCCUUCGUGUCAUGAGGCUUGGUGAGAAUGCAACACAUCAUAAUUCCCCUGGACUGCGGCCACUGAUCCUCCGAGAAUAACCUCGGAAAUAUAAUUAUUAUAGUUAUUCCGAUUCUGCUCUACUGAGAUUGCCUUAAAUGCUUCUUCGAUAAAAUUAUGUUAAUGUUACUGAUUUUAGUAUAUACAUGGAUGCUCCACUUUUGCCGCCAAAUAGUGCCAUUUUGUUUGGAUGUGUUAGAACUAUAGAAUGCUUUGUAGAUAGUCAGGACCACCGCUCUCUUAUAAGAUGGUCACGUGAACUAAUGAAAAUCACACAUUACCUGAGAAAUAUGCUAUAAUAAUAAUUAUGGGUAAACAAAAAAGGCAUUUCACUCAUUCUUGGAAGUGUUUUGCUAUCUUAAUAACAAUUUAUGCUUGUACUUAUAAAAUUAUACCCUUAAAAGAAUGAUUCAAAUUUUUGUACAAAGCAAAUAAUAUACACAAGGAUGAAUGAUCAACAGUCAGAUCUAAGUUAUGGAUCUCUCUGAGAAACAACUGCCAUCUCAUGGGAAACGAAUCUUUCUUCUGUGGCUCAAUUUGACAGACCCCAUGUUUGUAGAGGUUCUUGUAAGGGUUGGAUGGGUCGAUGAUGCGUGGCUUCUCGGGUAGGUAGUGACCGUACUUCUCCAUAAUCACACACUGUUAAAAAUGGGUAGUUACAAUAGCACCCAAAGUGCUAUGCCAACACUCACCUAAUGGUGCUAUCACAACACUAAGAGUGCAGUCGUAACUGCUACGUGUUACUAGAACAAUAAAGGGUGCUAUUAUACACUUAAAAGUGCUUGUGGAACAUUUUAAACAGUGUUGUGCAUGCACUUACCUAGUUGUUAAAAUCAUAUUACUCUAACUAUACACCAGAUGGUGUUACUCAAAUAAGAAUUGUGUGAUUGUAGCACUAUACAUGGUGCAAUGUAAGCACCUCUACAAAUCACCUGCAUGCAAAUCAAGGCCAGUCUAUAAUGAUUCGUGUAGUUGCAUGUGUAAAUAAAUAGUUGCUUAUAUAGUAUAACAAACCCGUUCCAUUAAAAUAGUUGAAUCUGGUAUAAUUAUUAUACCUUUGUAUUCAAGCAUGCAAGUAGAUUAUAAUUAUAGUCACCUUAUUUAUUAUACUUAUUCAGUAUAAAUUCUAAUCACAUGCGUAAUUAUGUAUACAGGAGUAAAGCAGUACACUUGUACUGAUGACGGAACAAUCGGCCCUGUGAGGAACUUUCCAAGAAAAAAUUAGUGCACUUUUCAAGUGUACCGGCAAUAUUUUAGCUAUUCAGUAUUUAUAACUUAUGUGAUGAACCAGUACUAGUUAUCAUUAUUAGUUACUGUAAAACUAUGUGUUUGAAGUUGCAACAUCUAUUGAGGACUAGACUAUGUGCAUGUCACGCUAACGGACAAAUUAAUGCCCAACAAUAAUUAUUAACAAUUCAAUCGUCUGAAAAAUCAUACAUCCUGUAUUUAGCAAAGUAGCUGGCUUAUAGUGUGUUCUUUCUACUCGUACAGUUGCCCUGCAAAUUUAACUCUUACUUUGCUCCCACCCCUCCCCUCUUCCAUGCAAGGGCAUACACUGAUGAUAUGAUCAUAAUUAAUUGAUGAGCACAGACUCAAAUGCGUGGUGGGUAGCCAAGACUACAUAAACAAAACAAAAUCGUGGGUGGUAGACGUGCAGCACUGAUCUCACGUGAACCUUGUGAUAGACAGCUGCCUGCAUGAGAGUCUCUGCACACAGCUGCGUGCACCUUAACUGUACGAAGGCGCCAGGCCUACUCUAGCUCUGUACUGUGCAUGCUCUGGUACUACAUGGACUAAGUUGCUAGAUGUACUACACUGCAAGAUGGCACACUGCUUUGACUCGGAACUAUAGAGGUUCAUGGAGUCGAGCUAUUUAAACGAGGUUAAAGAAUAUGCGUCGCAAAUUGAGAUUCAAUAUCUGUCCAAAGAUAAACCACUGCUCUUUAAAAGGAAUAGUCCAAAAACAAAGCGUAACAAAGGUGCUAUCAGGAGUGAUAUGAUCGACCAGCAGUUACAGAUGUGCAUAUAUACUUACCUUCUAUCCACCACUGACCGAUUAUGUCUAUGAAAGAUACCUAUAGAUUUACUUUUGAGGUAAAUUGGAAAGAAUUCGAACAAAGGAGAACAAUGUUAAGCUACAGGAGCUGGUCGAAGACUAUGCAGUCACUGGUGCAGUCACAAUCUAAUGGUAAAUAGAAACCCAUAUCUUCAAACAUACAUUUUUUUUAUUCAGUUCUGAAGAUAAUACUGUAAGAAGAAGGAUGCAGUACAAAUGAUAUUUGUCAAGCUGCUGCUCCACGUAUGUAAUGCAUAAACAGUUACAAAUACUUGAUACUUGAGAACAGAUUCUUCUGUUGCCCUUGAAUUCAUCCUGUGUGGGGGGGUAUAUGCCUAUUAUAACGAGAAUAACCCUGUCAUCAUACAUAUAUAAUUAUACACAGUAAUGCAUGCACACUGGAUAUUUGGAAGAGGUGACAACAGUUGUUAAAGUGUUAGGCUUUCGGCUUAUUUGAAUAAUUGUCUCCUACUCACUUAUAUCACUGCCUACUGUUUUUGUGAGCCCCAUCCUUAUCCCAUCAUAAUAUAUACAUGCAGGUGGAUGACAUGCAACGUUCGUUCAAGGUAGAAAAAGUGCUAUUGAAUCUGGAUCAAUGAACUACUUCGUCAUCGUAGAGAAAGAAGUGUAUGAAGUAGAUUCAUUCUAUGAAACUCUUGUACUAUGUUUUUGACAUUUUAGUACCCACGUGCAUGUCUGCAUGGCACCCUUUUAUUUUUAUAUUUUUAAGGUCCCGAACUGCCUAAGUGUAUUGUGGUCGUAGUUAUUAAACACUUUAUGAGGUUAUAGGUAUACAUAUCUUCAUACUUUUAUUGUAUGCUAUCGUGAUGCAUAUCAUUAUACACAUGCUAUAAUUAUGUUACGUCA